GACGAACGCUGGCGGCGUGCUUAACACAUGCAAGUCGAACGGAAAGGCCCUGCUUUUGUGCUGUGCUCGAGUGGCGAACGGGUGAGGAACACGUGAGUAACCUGCCCUUGACUUUGGGAUAACUUCAGGAAACUGGGGCUAAUACCGGAUAGCAGCUCCUGCUGCAUGGUGGGGGUUGGAAAGUUUCGGCGGUUGGGGAUGGACUCGCGGCUUAUCAGCUUGUUGGUGGGGUAGUGGCUUACCAAGGCUUUGACGGGUAGCCGGCCUGAGAGGGUGACCGGCAACAGUGGGCCUGAGAUACGGCCCAGACUCCUACGGGAGACAGCAGUGGGGAAUAUUGCACAGUGGGCGGAAGCCUGAUGCGGCAACGCCGCGUGCGGGAUGACGGCCUUCGGGUUGUAAACCGCUUUCGCCUGUGACGAAGCGUGAGUGACGGUAAUGGGUAAAGAAGCACCGGCUAACUACGUG
Molecule: ribosomal RNA, 468 nt
Filed under: uncultured bacterium
Lineage: Bacteria
Description: partial 16S ribosomal RNA
Rfam family: Bacterial small subunit ribosomal RNA
Source: RNAcentral